Molecule: non-coding RNA, 846 nt
Organism: Phoenix dactylifera (date palm)
Lineage: Eukaryota; Viridiplantae; Streptophyta; Magnoliopsida; Arecales; Arecaceae
Source: RefSeq, a predicted model, not a curated record
AUCUUGGAAGCAAUCAAGGCCUGGAGGGAGAUAUCUUAAUAUUUGGUUACUAAGUCCACAUCUUAUUAAAGGACUUGUAUACGAUACAUGCCGUACAGAUUAUAUUGUUCGCUUAUUCCUAUUCUUGAUCUGCUUUGCAAUCAUAGCAUGAUGUCUGAAAUACAAUGGUUCCGUGAGCUGCUGAAAAAUUCACUGUCACAAUACAAAGAUCCCACAGAAAAAAUGAAUUAGUAAAUAAAAUGAUUUCUAGAUCACAACAGGUGUCCAGCAUGCACGAAAUAUGCGUUACGUGAUAACCUGCAAUGCGUUACUAAAUUCAUGAGGACCUGCAAAACCUAAAUGAUUACGACAUUUUUCAUUAAGAAAAGGACACAAACCUCACCUUCCGUGCAGGCUAUAAAUUGGGACACACCCUGGGAAACACAACAAUCCAAGAGGCUGCUAUUUGGUCUUCAUAACCAGUUUUCAGGCACGGCAGCCAUGGAUGCUGCCUGUCUCUUUUCCAUGCUUGGCCGGUGACAGCAGCAGUAGCUGCAACUCAGCGCUGCUCCUCAUUAAGAACCAGAGUUCGGAUCCUAUUAUCCCUCGUCUGGGUUUGAAGCGGACUCGGCGUCAAGAUGGAAGUGAAUAAAUCUGAAGCAAUGCCGGAACCAUCACAAGAGAGUGCUCUGGUUCCUCCCACGGCCAACGAAAAGUUUGCUUGCCAGAGAGCAAGGCAAUCGUUGUGAGAAAGAGGAUGGAAGAAGAUUAUUGUAUUUCAAAACCGGCUUGUGAAGUAUGUAACCAGAAGAUCUCUGUAACGGAUUCUCUUUGUUUGAAUAUGUAUUAUGAAUUUGCCUUUGAUUU